Cololabis saira (Pacific saury) is the source of this 67-nucleotide small nucleolar RNA. RefSeq annotates it as small nucleolar RNA SNORD52. Lineage: Eukaryota; Metazoa; Chordata; Actinopteri; Beloniformes; Belonidae. The transcript has a single exon. The record is from RefSeq and is a predicted model, not a curated record.
UGGGAUGAUGAUCUCCUAGACUAGAGUCUCUGAGUAACCAUGAAGAUGUUUCACAGUGCACUGACCA